GCUUUACACAUGCAAGUCGAACGGCAGCACGGAGCUUGCUCUGGUGGCGAGUGGCGAACGGGUGAGUAAUGCGUCGGAACGUAUCCAAUAAUGGGGGAUAACGCAGCGAAAGCUGUGCUAAUACCGCAUACGCCCUGAGGGGGAAAGCAGGGGAUCUUCGGACCUUGCGUUAGUGGAGCGGCCGACGUCUGAUUAGCUAGUUGGUAGGGUAAAGGCCUACCAAGGCGACGAUCAGUAGCUGGUCUGAGAGGAUGAUCAGCCACACUGGAACUGAGACACGGUCCAGACUCCUACGGGAGGCAGCAGUGGGGAAUUUUGGACAAUGGGGGAAACCCUGAUCCAGCCAUUCCGCGUGAGUGAAGAAGGCCUUCGGGUUGUAAAGCUCUUUCAGGAGGGAAGAAACGAUUAUGGUUAAUAACCAUGAUUAAUGACGGUACCUUCAGAAGAAGCACCGGCUAACUACGUGCCAGCAGCCGCGGUAAUACGUAGGGUGCGAGCGUUAAUCGGAAUUACUGGGCGUAAAGCGUGCGCAGGCGGUUUAUCAAGUCUGAUGUGAAAGCCCCGGGCUUAACCUGGGAACUGCGUUGGAAACUGAUAAACUAGAGUACGGCAGAGGGGGGUAGAAUUCCACGUGUAGCAGUGAAAUGCGUAGAUAUGUGGAGGAAUACCGAUGGCGAAGGCAGCCCCCUGGGUCGAUACUGACGCUCAUGCACGAAAGCGUGGGUAGCAAACAGGAUUAGAUACCCUGGUA
RNAcentral lists this ribosomal RNA (751 nucleotides) under uncultured bacterium. Its description in RNAcentral is "bacterial SSU rRNA". It matches the Rfam family "Bacterial small subunit ribosomal RNA", at positions 46 to 792 of the family's 1533-position model. The record is from RNAcentral.